UUAAGUUAGAAAGGGCGCACGGUGAAUGCCUUGGCACUAGGAGCCGAUGAAGGACGGGACUAACACCGAUAUGCUUCGGGGAGCUGUAAGUGAGCUUUGAUCCGGAGAUUUCCGAAUGGGGAAACCCACUGUUCGUAAUGGAACAGUAUCUUUAUCUGAAUACAUAGGAUAUUGAAGGCAGACCCGGGGAACUGAAACAUCUAAGUACCCGGAGGAAGAGAAAGCAAAUGCGAUUUCCUGAGUAGCGGCGAGCGAAACGGAAUUAGCCCAAACCAAGAGGCUUGCCUCUUGGGGUUGUAGGACACUCUAUACGGAGUUACAAAGGAACGAAGUAAAUGAAGCGACCUGGAAAGGUCCGUCGAAGAAGGUAACAACCCUGUAGUUGAAACUUCGUUCCCUCUUGAGUGGAUCCUGAGUACGGCGGAACACGUGAAAUUCCGUCGGAAGCUGGGAGGACCAUCUCCCAAGGCUAAAUACUACCUAGUGACCGAUAGUGAACCAGUACCGUGAGGGAAAGGUGAAAAGCACCCCGGAAGGGGAGUGAAAGAGAUCCUGAAACCGUGUGCCUACAAGUAGUCAGAGCCCGUUAACGGGUGAUGGCGUGCCUUUUGUAGAAUGAACCGGCGAGUUACGAUCCCAUGCAAGGUUAAGCUGAUAAGGCGGAGCCGUAGCGAAAGCGAGUCUGAAUAGGGCGUUUAGUAUGUGGUUGUAGACCCGAAACCAGGUGAUCUACCCAUGUCCAGGGUGAAGUUCAGGUAACACUGAAUGGAGGCCCGAACCCACGCACGUUGAAAAGUGCGGGGAUGAGGUGUGGGUAGCGGAGAAAUUCCAAUCGAACCUGGAGAUAGCUGGUUCUCUCCGAAAUAGCUUUAGGGCUAGCCUCAUGUUGUGAGAGUCUUGGAGGUAGAGCACUGAUUGGACUAGGGGCCCCCAACGGGUUACCGAAUUCAGUCAAACUCCGAAUGCCAAAGACUUAUCCAUGGGAGUCAGACUGCGAGUGAUAAGAUCCGUAGUCAAAAGGGAAACAGCCCAGACCACCAGCUAAGGUCCCCAAGUAUACGUUAAGUGGAAAAGGAUGUGGAGUUGCUUAGACAACCAGGAUGUUGGCUUAGAAGCAGCCACCAUUUAAAGAGUGCGUAAUAGCUCACUGGUCGAGUGACUCUGCGCCGAAAAUGUACCGGGGCUAAACGUAUCACCGAAGCUGUGGAUUGACAUCUUAGAUGUCAGUGGUAGGAGAGCGUUCUAAGUGCAGCGAAGUCAGACCGUAAGGACUGGUGGAGCGCUUAGAAGUGAGAAUGCCGGUAUGAGUAGCGAAAGACAAGUGAGAAUCUUGUCCACCGAAUGCCUAAGGUUUCCUGAGGAAGGCUCGUCCGCUCAGGGUUAGUCGGGACCUAAGCCGAGGCUGAAAAGCGUAGGCGAUGGCCAACAGGUUGAUAUUCCUGUACCACCUCCCCGCCGUUUGAGUAAUGGGGGGACGCAGUAGGAUAGGGUAAGCGCGCUGCUGGAUAUGCGCGUUCAAGCAGUUAGGCUGAUGAGUAGGCAAAUCCGCUCAUCAUAAAGGCUGAGCUGUGAUGACGAGGGAAUUAUAGUACCGAAGUUCCUGAUUCCACACUGCCAAGAAAAGCCUCUAGCGAGGCGGGAGGUGCCCGUACCGCAAACCGACACAGGUAGGCGAGGAGAGAAUCCUAAGGUGAUCGAGAGAACUCUCGUUAAGGAACUCGGCAAAAUGACCCCGUAACUUCGGGAGAAGGGGUGCUCUGGUAGGGUGUAUAGCCCGAGAGAGCCGCAGUGAAUAGGCCCAGGCGACUGUUUAGCAAAAACACAGGUCUCUGCGAAGCCGCAAGGCGAAGUAUAGGGGCUGACGCCUGCCCGGUGCUGGAAGGUUAAGAGGAGGGGUUAUCCUUUGGGAGAAGCUCUGAAUCGAAGCCCCAGUAAACGGCGGCCGUAACUAUAACGGUCCUAAGGUAGCGAAAUUCCUUGUCGGGUAAGUUCCGACCCGCACGAAAGGCGUAACGAUCUGGGCACUGUCUCAACGAGAGACUCGGUGAAAUUAUAGUACCUGUGAAGAUGCAGGUUACCCGCGACAGGACGGAAAGACCCCGUGGAGCUUUACUGUAGCCUGAUAUUGAAUUUUGGUACAGCUUGUACAGGAUAGGUAGGAGCCUGAGAAGCCGGAGCGCUAGCUUCGGUGGAGGCGUCGGUGGGAUACUACCCUGGCUGUAUUGAAAUUCUAACCCGCGGCCCUGAUCGGGCCGGGAGACAGUGUCAGGUGGGCAGUUUGACUGGGGCGGUCGCCUCCUAAAAUGUAACGGAGGCGCCCAAAGGUUCCCUCAGAAUGGUUGGAAAUCAUUCGUAGAGUGUAAAGGCACAAGGGAGCUUGACUGCGAGACCUACAAGUCGAGCAGGGACGAAAGUCGGGCUUAGUGAUCCGGUGGUUCCGCAUGGAAGGGCCAUCGCUCAACGGAUAAAAGCUACCCCGGGGAUAACAGGCUUAUCUCCCCCAAGAGUCCACAUCGACGGGGAGGUUUGGCACCUCGAUGUCGGCUCAUCGCAUCCUGGGGCUGUAGUCGGUCCCAAGGGUUGGGCUGUUCGCCCAUUAAAGCGGUACGCGAGCUGGGUUCAGAACGUCGUGAGACAGUUCGGUCCCUAUCCGUCGUGGGCGUAGGAAAUUUGAGAGGAGCUGUCCUUAGUACGAGAGGACCGGGAUGGACACACCGCUGGUGUACCAGUUGUCUUGCCAAAGGCAUCGCUGGGUAGCUAUGUGUGGACGGGAUAAGUGCUGAAAGCAUCUAAGCAUGAAGCCCCCCUCAAGAUGAGAUUUCCCAUAGCGCAAGCUAGUAAGAUCCCUGAAAGAUGAUCAGGUUGAUAGGUCAGAGGUGGAAGCGUGGCGACAUGUGUAGCUGACUGAUACUAAUCGAUCGAGGACUUAACCAA
This 2934-nucleotide ribosomal RNA is filed under the name Priestia megaterium QM B1551. RNAcentral describes it as "bacterial LSU rRNA". It matches the Rfam family "Bacterial large subunit ribosomal RNA". The record is from RNAcentral. Lineage: Bacteria; Bacillati; Bacillota; Bacilli; Caryophanales; Bacillaceae.